UUAUCGUCUGUGGUGUCCUAGCUUAUUUCGUUCAGUUCCUCCGUGUCGAUGUUAAUUUAACAUCUGUUUGGGGAGUUUGUCUGUCAGUGUUGCAUUUUGAAGUUUCAAUUUGUUUCUAAUGUUUAGUUUGUGUGCCGGUUUAAAUGCCAUAAUUUGGAACUCUUGUCUGGUUUGAACAAGAUGUAAUCGUCUUAUGGAUGAAAUGAUUCUUUGUGGUCGGUGCUGUCUA
This 229-nucleotide long non-coding RNA is filed under the name Hordeum vulgare. Its description in RNAcentral is "long non-coding RNA (HVUL_LNC006421)". Lineage: Eukaryota; Viridiplantae; Streptophyta; Magnoliopsida; Poales; Poaceae. The record is from RNAcentral.